UGACGUGUCAUAGCGACUGUUCAAGUAACGCUGGGGUUUGCUUGCACCGCCAUCCAUGGCAGUAGGUGGGUCGAAACGAGCCCAUAUUCGCAAGAUGUGUGGAUAUAUACAAUGUGUAUCUCACUAUUCACACUUGCAGAGGUCUUGUUUUUUCGUUGAAAACAAUGGCAGAAAAAAAUCAGAGAACGGAAAGGAAUUGAGACUUCUCUUAUAAACAGGAUUGUGAUGAAUUUGACUUGUUGAGAUAUAUAUAUACAAUGUAUAUAUCUCACUGUUCCCACUGAUGGAAUACUUUUCCUGGUAUAAACUGUUGGCAGGGACAUAAAGAGUGAAAAAAGGGAAGGAAAAAUAAAGGUGUUCUGAUUAAUGGAUGUGAGAGUAUAUAUCCAAUUGAGAUCUAAGAAUAAUGUCUGUUUUAUCAAAUAUUUUCAUAUCAAUAGUAUGUUUUAUUGUGGACUAUGUUUCAUAUGCAGUAUUUAAGAUAAUUGCAGUGGUAGCAGUGGUACUGAUUCACAUGUUGAGGAUACCAGGCAUGAUCAUUCUGCAAGUUUUUAGAUGUGUAAUUCAGUUGAUACCCUUUAUUUUGGAGCAUAUUAUUAGGCAUGUCACAGAUUUGCUGUUUACAACAGUUUUUGGGUGUAUGGAGGUGAUUGAGAGUGCUUGCAGUGCUUUAGUAGGCUUUUUGGUGUCCAUGAUUUAUGACAUUUUGGGUCAUCUGUACACUGCCCUACAUGAUUUUGCAGACCUCUUUUCGGCAUUCCUGUGGAAUGUUAUCAAGAUGUUUGGUCUCUCUCUGUUGAGCAUAUGGAACAAUUUUGUGGAUGCAAUAGCUUAUUUUAUACAUAAUGUAUAAUCAAUUGAUUGUAAGAUAAAUUUGUUGAAAAGAGCCCAUAUUGAGCUCGGUAAGUAUAUAUGAAUUUGUACUGGGGGAUUUUUCCCAGAUUCCAAUUCUGGAGAUUGACAAUGUUGCAGCCAAAGAAAUCUAUGGAGACAAUGUUACACUACAGAAGAUAAAGGAGUAGGGAUAUACAAAUUCCACCCCAUUUGAUUGUUAAGAGGUUCCAGAGCUGGAGGAAUUCAAACAAUUCCAUGAAAAUCUGGUUGAAGCUGUUGGGCACCAAAUGGGAAUGGAGAAUUGCCCAACAGAAAUUGAAGAGGCAAAUCUUUUGUGUUUUGGAAGAUCCAAAUGGAUCUAGGAUAAUAUAAUACAGAUUAUUCAUUAGAUAGCUCCAAUAUAUUUGAUUCAUGACCUUCUCCAAUGAGGAAGUUUUAUUCAUUGCAAUUCUUAUGAACAUUGUAGGGUUUUAUGGCAUUGUGGAUUGUUGGUUACAAAUGUUCUAAUAGAUCUUGACUGGUUUUAAUAUUA
This is a long non-coding RNA of Cryptomeria japonica (Japanese cedar), 1366 nucleotides long. RefSeq lists it as uncharacterized. The record is from RefSeq and is a predicted model, not a curated record. The transcript has 2 exons. NCBI's taxonomy places the organism in Eukaryota, Viridiplantae, Streptophyta, Pinopsida, Cupressales, Cupressaceae.